AUGUGUCCGUCACACCGCAAUAUAAUUUUGGCGAGGAUCUUAACGUCAGUUAUUAUGAUUUACGGUAAAAUAUUUGGUCUCCUCCACAAGCGACAACUCCUAGUCAAGAAAAUCCUCCAACAUCAUAUGCAACACAACAAAAUCCUCCAACAGAGACCGAACAAUAUGGUUUUGGUCAUCGUGCUCCGCGACUGCGUUAUUAUUUUAUCGGUACUCGUUUCGGACCGGGUCAGCAUUAAAUAG
Non-coding RNA from Vicia faba (fava bean), 243 nucleotides. NCBI's taxonomy places the organism in Eukaryota, Viridiplantae, Streptophyta, Magnoliopsida, Fabales, Fabaceae. The record is from the annotation of a GenBank genome assembly.